Arabidopsis thaliana (thale cress) is the source of this 225-nucleotide long non-coding RNA. RefSeq annotates it as other RNA. Lineage: Eukaryota; Viridiplantae; Streptophyta; Magnoliopsida; Brassicales; Brassicaceae. The transcript has a single exon. The record is from RefSeq.
GAAGAACCUUCCAACUUACUCUGUGGUAAAACAGUAGCAAACACAAGCUUGACGGCUCCAAAUUUGGAACUUUCCAGAUGUCUUCUUCUAUAAGUAUGAUACUACUGUUAUCAGUUUCUUCAAGCAAAUUUCAUGGCGAUGGAACAUCGUUGUAUAAUUCCCUUUCUCCUUCUGAACAUAGAUUCGGUGGCUGACUGCUAGGAACCCUUCGCGUGCGGCAAAAGA